AGGUGCUUCAGUGUAGGGCACACAUCUGACAUGCAGGCUCAGCAGCAGGCGCCAUCUUUACGUGCAUUUCUACCAAACUCACUACAUCAGUUAUCUACUGAAUAUCUACUGAGUGCUUCCCCAGACUGCCCCAACACAGACAAGUAGGCAGGUGAGUCACCCAGUGGAAGGAAAUAGAGGGUCCCCUCCCUAUCUUAAGGCUGUGAGUACAGGAUCUUCGGUGGUACGGCGCAUUAAGCUGUGGUGUUUCUGUCCCACUGUCAACUGACGCGAAUGAUGAAUUUCUCUACCUGACAUCGUCGCGGAGGACAAAAACAAACCAGCCAGAGGAAGGACGGUGUAGCGGGCCGGCCAGAAGGGGCAACAACUGUUAGUUGUAGAGGGUGAUUCACAGAAACGGAGGAAUUCCUGUGUUGUUGGAACAUCGAGGUUUUGCCUCAUUGAUUACUUGAGGAAAAGUGGAAGGAAGCAAAGAGUCAUUCUGAGAAAACAUCUCCUCUCAUCCUCUCCCCUCGCCCUUUUCCUUUGCUUCUAAAGUUUGGUCUUACAGAAUGAUGGAUGAGCAGCUUGCACUGUGGCCUCCGAUGUCCUCUCGUCUUCCUCCCUCCUUAUCCUCCUCCUCUUCCUCCUUCAGACACACGCUGACUUCAAUGCACAGUGUUAGCCAAUGAUGGAUGGAGAGAUGGCAGUGUGGCAGUAAUAGAACAGCUCUGUUGCUCAUUGAUUUGUUUUCAUUUUCAUGUCUUUAUGUCUUUUGCACAUCUAAAUAUAGAUGUACAUAAUGAGACAAAUCUAAAUUUUCUCACAGAAGGCUUCUAGAAGUUUUAUUUUUAUAAGAGUCUAAUAAAAUAUUAUUAAUAUUUUCAGGGAUGUUGCAUAUAUUUGUUGCAAGUUUCUGUUUUACCUACAUCUGGUUAACACAGAGAGUACACAAAGUAUUAACUCUCAGUUCUGGUUUUAAAAAAUGUCAGACAAUGCAGGAGUGAUGGACAGCAGGCUGUUUAUGCAACAUUACAUAUUAUUAAUCAUCUUCACAUUUUCGGAAAGAGGGGGGGCUGUACAAAGAUGAGGAGGAGGAGAGGGGAUGAUGAGAAGGGGGAGGACGAAGAAAGAGGAGGAAGAGGAGGGGAGUGGAGGCAAAGGAGGAAGGUUAGAAAGCCACAAAUAACUACCAUCAAUCAUCAAGGAGUCAACAUUUUCACAUGUUAGGAUUGCCUCUUAUUGGCAGCAGCCAGAGAUCCGUUUGUGUGUGUGUGUGUGUGUGUGCGCGUGUGUGUAUGUGUGUGUGUUUGCUCUGUCUUGCCCAGCCUAGACUUCUCUCCCUAUCUCACUGUCUUCACCUUUCCUUAAACUGACGGCACGAACAACAACAGUUGAGAAAUCACCCUCGUCAGCAGGAAGCUGGCAGGUGCGUUAACUCCCCUAGUACCAAAUUAGGAUGUGCAAGAUUGCAGAAACGCCUCGGCUCUCAUAUCUCCCUUUUUAAUCACUAACAUUUAGACGAGUCUGGAUGGAAACGCACAUUAGGCUUUAGCCAAGGAUUUUCUUUGGAUGCCGAGCCAGGCCUCAGAUCGCACUCAGCCCUCCAAAAUCUAAGUGGGAUCUUUGCCUUCUAGCCUGAGAGAAAGAUCUUAGGUCAGGCUUCAACUUGGGUGUUGUAAAACUACUCAUUUAUUCAAAUGUUACUGCCCAAAAAGAAGUUGGGCUGUGUUAAAGUGCAUGUUAAAAAUUAUUCCAAUCUGACCUCUUAGGAUUAAAUACAGGGAAAAUGAGUUUAAAGGUUGUUCAUUCAGAUAUCUAAAAUGAUAUUGUGUGGGACAGUCACAGCUCUGCUCUUAGACGGUGGCGAUUUUUGUAGUUUUUCUUUUAUAAUUAAUUUUGUUCUUAGAUUUUAGAAAAUAAAUCUGUUAUUAGAAUAAUGCCAUCCUUAUGUUGCUGCACUUUGGCUCGCAGAAUUUUGAUGUUUGAUGGUCAUGAACACCGUCAUCAAAAACACAUUUUGUUGAGCUUGUGGAUUAUGGAAAAGCGACACUAGGGGGUGCUCUAGGUUUGUCAAGCCAACUGUUGAGGCUUCACGCUGCUUACAGUUGGAGCUGUACGUUCAGAGUGUGGGUGUGUAUGCAGAUGUGAAAGCACUGGCUGUCCAGUCGGAGUCACACCACAUCCUUCCACAAGACAUAUUUAUGAUUAACCCUGUGUCCCUGUUUAUGUCCGCGAGCUGUCAGAGGUUAAGCUUCUAAGUUACAAAUUAUUGUGUGAGAAAAGAGUUAAUAGAUGACGGCUUUUCCAGGAGUUGGUCCGCAGCUUCAUAUUUAGUUACCUAAUACCACUGAAUAUGAAUAAAAACUUGCUGAGUGGACAAAGAGUGAGUGCUCUAAUUGGGUAUUUGAAAGAUAUACUGUUAGUCUUGUUUAUGCAUUUUCCGAAUUGGAAGGACUCGCUAAUUCUGUCCUUAAUUAUGUACUUUUUGCCCUUUCUUUAUUUUUGUGCACAUACACUCACGCACUAAUUCACGAGGUUUGAGAUGUGUCUUCUCAGUUUCAGUACAGUAAAGUACUAAAACAAGUAAGUGUGUGUGUGUGC
Oreochromis niloticus (Nile tilapia) is the source of this 2583-nucleotide long non-coding RNA. RefSeq lists it as uncharacterized. The record is from RefSeq and is a predicted model, not a curated record. The transcript has 4 exons. NCBI's taxonomy places the organism in Eukaryota, Metazoa, Chordata, Actinopteri, Cichliformes, Cichlidae.